RNAcentral lists this ribosomal RNA (500 nucleotides) under uncultured bacterium. Its description in RNAcentral is "partial 16S ribosomal RNA". It matches the Rfam family "Bacterial small subunit ribosomal RNA", at positions 30 to 523 of the family's 1533-position model. The record is from RNAcentral.
AUUGAACGCUGGCGGAAUGCUUUACACAUGCAAGUCGAACGGCAGCACGGGGGCAACCCUGGUGGCGAGUGGCGAACGGGUGAGUAAUACAUCGGAACGUGCCCAGUCGUGGGGGAUAACGUAGCGAAAGUUACGCUAAUACCGCAUACGAUCUACGGAUGAAAGCGGGGGACCGUAAGGCCUCGCGCGAUUGGAGCGGCCGAUGUCAGAUUAGGUAGUUGGUGAGGUAAAGGCUCACCAAGCCGACGAUCUGUAGCUGGUCUGAGAGGACGACCAGCCACACUGGGACUGAGACACGGCCCAGACUCCUACGGGAGGCUGCAGUGGGGAAUUUUGGACAAUGGGCGCAAGCCUGAUCCAGCCGUUCCGCGUGCAGGACGAAGGCCUUCGGGUUGUAAACUGCUUUUGUACGGAACGAAAAGGCUCUGGUUUAUACCUGGGGCUCAUGACGGUACCGUAAGAAUAAGCACCGGCUAACUACGUGCCAGCCGCCGCGGUAA